GGUGGCUAAGUGGUAGAGUGCUUGCCUUGCAUGCAUGAGGCCCUGGGUUCGGUUCUCAGCACCA
This 64-nucleotide transfer RNA is filed under the name Dipodomys ordii (Ord's kangaroo rat). It matches the Rfam family "tRNA". From Rfam's summary of the family: Transfer RNA (tRNA) molecules are approximately 80 nucleotides in length. The record is from Rfam by way of RNAcentral. Lineage: Eukaryota; Metazoa; Chordata; Mammalia; Rodentia; Heteromyidae.